GUUUAGUUGGACACUUCACGUUAGAAUGCAGUUGCAGGCUUACAUUCCCCAUGGGUAACUUUCUGUUUCCAUCUAUACGUGCUGUGAUGUAUGUAUGCUACAUAUGUUAUGUAUUCUCUGCAAUAAAUUCUUUUUGUGUUUAAUAGCAUCAUGUCGACGGCAGAAGGGACAUUAUCAUCCGUUGCUUAUUUGAGUAUCUUGGAGAGAGUGGAGAGGAGCUGAUCAAAGACUAUCAGGACGUCAGCCAAGAAGCAGUGAAAGAGGACUGCAGUAAUCACAUGAUGCAGAUCAACGUCAUCCAUCCCAAUGUGGCACAGGAAAUCCAAGAUCCUGUGUAUGUGUCAGUCAUCAUCAAGUGUGACAAACGCUUGCCUCCUGCUCAUGGGUGUCAUCUAUGCUGUAAACUUAAGUUACCCACUUAAACUGAAAUAUACGUUUGAAGUAUUUCAGAAGCUGUUUCUUGAGCUUGACGUCAUUACAAUGUCACCAAAGGUCCAGUUUCUCCACAAUAAACUUUUAGCGUGAGCGUUCCAGUGCUAUUUGUGCUUUUGUCCAGCACAAACAAUCUCUUUACUUUUGUCAUUUUUCUGACUGAAAUUUCAAGUUUUGCUUAGUUUUUAAGUUAUUUCUGUCCUGAACAUCCUGAGAAUGUCUGCAAAGGUAGCCAUUGCAGUUUAUGUAUGCAUUCUUUGCUGUUCUGAAAAGUCAACUGUAACACUGUAUUUGUUUGUAUGCUGGAAUAUCAGUCCUAAAGUCAGUUGGUGCUUUGUCAUUCCGCAUUGAAUUUUUCAAAUCCUAAACGGCUUUACUUUUGAGCUUUUGUGUGCGUGUGUGUGUGUGUGUACACUGUUUUCAAAUUUGCUAGCAGGAAGUUCUGUGUGGUUAUGUUAUGUAUUUUAAAUACAUCUAUGCCAUUUCAAAUGUGAAAUAAAAGUGUAUUUCAAACAUCC
Long non-coding RNA from Gadus morhua (Atlantic cod), 950 nucleotides. RefSeq lists it as uncharacterized. The transcript is spliced from 2 exons. The record is from RefSeq and is a predicted model, not a curated record. Lineage: Eukaryota; Metazoa; Chordata; Actinopteri; Gadiformes; Gadidae.